UCACAAUAUCAUAAAUGUCAUUAUUACAUAGCGGAAGUCUUAUAAAAAUAAAUGAUAAUAAUAAAGCGAACUAAGUAUUAUUCUUUAGCGCCACAAAGCUGACUAGGAGACGCCACCUAGAUCAACUCGUACUCCUUAUUGUAUGGCUCCUCCUGGACCACCUUUUCUUCUCCUGUGGGGGGGGGGGUUACAUAUCGCAAGGAUGAGCUCACAAAAGAUCAUAGCUCAACAAGUUGUGGGGAAUAAUGUGCAUGAACUUACCAAAGGUGGGAGUUCAUGUGAAGUGUAAGGCUAAUCAACAAGUAAGGGUUAAAGCUGAUAAUUGCUUUUAACAGGUUGGUCAAGUUUUAUUAGUAGUUACUAAAUGUAAGUAGAUUCUAAACCAGAGUAAUAGUAGAUCAAAAUUUAUAAUAAAUCCCAAUACGAUGGAAAUGACAAAUUGAAUUUAAUUUCAUAAAUUAAUCAUGCAAGAGUCUUGAGCUGCUCAUGACCGCGAGCAUGACUAGUAUACCACUUUUACACUCUACAGAGGUUGUACCCUGUACCCACAAGUCAUGUAUCCCGUCCAGCCAAGGUUAGCUAAACCCUUAGACACUGCCGAGGUGAAUGACUAGGGAUCCACUACGAGGCAUUUACAAAGUUCCACUAGCUUAAGAAAACCCGCUACAGUUUCUAGAAAAACAAUGCAGGAAUCCCCCGUCUGACUGCCAUCGCAGCAAAAUCAACCCGAGAACCUCCCUAUACGCCUACUCCCCUACUGCCCUUUCCCCUUUCGCGUAAGGUAGUCCUCCACUAGCUUUCCUAGUUAGUCAACCAAGGGCGUCCCAUUCCACCCUUGUGGUGGCACAUGUUUCUCAAGUUAAGCUCGAUGUUCCAAUUAACAUAGUUGCCUUAUCAUGAACAAAAAUAGAACAAUAAUAAAGAAUGAUCAUGUGUAAUAGUUAUCUCAACACCCAAAACCAUAUAUAGCAAUAGCAAAAACUACCCAAAAGUUCAUGGGUAAACAAGGUGAAAAGAUAACCAGACUAGGGUGGCCUAUUGGGUCCCAUCAAAAUUAAGCCUAUGCAUGAUAAAAUGAUUAUAAAGAACAUUAUUGGGUAAAUAAAAGUGAUCAAGAGCACAACUUGCCUUCAAUGAGCUCCUGCUCAGCAAACCUGCUAAACACCUAGAUCCUUGGUCACUGGCUCGUCUACUCGCCAUAAUACAAACAAACAUGGUACAAGGGAGAAAUUAACAUCACACCAAACAUGAAUACAAAAUAAAUAAUAGUAAUCUACGCAUCAUAACGAGAUCAUAGGAACAAGAAUCUCUAAAUUCAGAGUUAUGGAUUUUAUGUUAUGAUUUUCCAAAGUAUUUAUGUGUUUGGUACAAAAUUAUCAAAGUGAUUAAUUUUAAUAUGGCUUUCAUGCUAGAACAGUUUUAAUAAGUGAUAAACAAUAUUAACACAAAAUUAUAGGAACUAGAAUGGAUUUGAAAGGAGCUAAAAUGAAUUUCCUAGGAUUUAAACAAGUUUCUGCAAUUAAUUUUGUAGAAAAAAAAUCAUUUUCUAAAUAAAUUUCUCUAUUUUAUUAAUUGUAUGAACUGCGCACAACAUUACCGAGAACUGCAGGGGGUGCACGGUAAAAUCCUGGACCUCUCCGUAACGAUCUUAAUACGGUCUUGAACCGCGGGUUCAUUUCUAUAUAGUUUAGGGGCUCAUGCAAAAAAGUGCACGGCCAAAACGGUAUCAACAGAUCUCGACCGUCCGAUCGGGAAUCAAGGGCUCAGAUUAGAAUCUGGCCACCACAAUCCGGUACGCAACAAGUGCCGUUCGAUCUCUAUACGACGCUCCAGAUUCAAUUAUGCCAAGAUCAACCCUCACCCGAUCGAUUCGAUCGGAUGGCGCACGUUACUCCGGCUGAAACGGUAUCAGCCAUCAAAUCCAGACCGUAGAUCAUGAGAUCUACGGAUCCGACCUCGCCUACCCGUAUCUGAUCUAAGCCGCACGUUGCCAGAUCUACGAUGCUGGUAUCUCUCCCUGACCCGACUCUCUUGCGCGCGGCGGUGACCGGUGAAGGCUCCGCACGGCGGCGAGCCGCCAGCAAACUACCCAACUGGUUGGCUCGAGGUACGCCCAACUUCAAAUCCGGUGAAAAAGGAAGCGCGAGGUGAAACUAUCCAGGGGCUUACCGACGACCGAGGAGAUGGUGGGUGAGCCGGCACGACCCGCAGUGGCCGGACACGGAGAUCCCACGACGGCGGCGAGUUCCCGACCAGCCGAGCACCCACCAUACACGGCAACACCUCGCGCGAGACCCUUCAACGCGACCAAAGCUCCUGAAUUCGCCCCCGAGACUUGAGACGUGGCGAUAUCUCCACCCAGCUACUCUCUCCGGACUUGCUGUCAAUGGCUAUUUCUGGUGGCGGCGCUUUCCUUUUUCUUGUGGCGGCAGAAGGAGGAGAGGGCAAAGGAGAAAGCAAGAGGGUCCUUAGCCCGCUUUUGAAGCAAAGGUGAGGUGCAGUCGUGGUUAGCGGAGGUGUCGCGUGCUCAACCACCCGCCCGAGAUGCG
RNAcentral lists this long non-coding RNA (2549 nucleotides) under Zea mays. Its description in RNAcentral is "long non-coding RNA (ZMAY_LNC003144)". Lineage: Eukaryota; Viridiplantae; Streptophyta; Magnoliopsida; Poales; Poaceae. The record is from RNAcentral.